This 1221-nucleotide ribosomal RNA is filed under the name Triticum aestivum (bread wheat). RNAcentral describes it as "partial small subunit ribosomal RNA". The record is from RNAcentral. Lineage: Eukaryota; Viridiplantae; Streptophyta; Magnoliopsida; Poales; Poaceae.
AUGAUCGGCAUCGCCUUCACCGGGUCAGGGAAGACUCUGGUGUUCGUGCUGCCCCUCAUCAUGGUGGCGCUGCAAGAGGAGAUGUUGAUGCCUAUUGUGCCUGGGGAGGGCCCGUUUGGCAUGAUCAUUUGCCCAUCACGGGAGCUGGCCAAGCAGACAUAUGAUGUCAUCGACAUGUUCCUCACUCCACUCAAGCAGGCUGGAUUCCCAGAAAUACGACCAUUGCUUUGCAUUGGGGGUAUAGACAUGAGGACACAACUCGAUGUGGUGAAGAAGGGCGUACAUAUUGUGGUGGCCACACCUGGACGGCUCAAGGAUCUUCUCGCCAAGAAGAAGAUGAACCUUGACAAUUGCAGGUAUUUAACUUUAGAUGAAGCUGAUAGGCUUGUUGAUCUUGGAUUUGAAGAUGACAUUCGGGAGGUUUUUGACCAUUUCAAGGCACAAAGGCAAACCCUUCUUUUUUCUGCCACUAUGCCCAAGAAGAUCCAGAACUUUGCAAAGAGCGCCCUCGUAAAGCCAGUUAUCGUCAAUGUUGGAAGAGCUGGAGCAGCAAAUCUUGAUGUCAUCCAAGAAGUUGAGUAUGUCAAGGAAGAUGCCAGAAUUAUAUAUCUCCUUGAAUGCCUUCAAAAGACUCCACCUCCUGUUCUUAUAUUUUGUGAAAACAAAGCUGAUGUUGACUACAUCCAUGAGUAUCUUCUUCUAAAGGGGGUGGAAGCUGUUGCAAUCCACGGAGGCAAAGAUCAGGAGGAGAGGCAAAACGCGAUUGAGUUCUUCAAGAAUGGAAAGAAGGAUGUUUUGGUGGCUACUGAUGUUGCCUCAAAGGGUCUUGAUUUCCCUGAUAUCCAGCACGUGAUUAACUAUGAUAUGCCUGCCGAAAUAGAGAACUAUGUCCACAGGAUUGGUCGAACUGGUCGAUGCGGGAAAACGGGAAUAGCAACCACGUUCAUCAACAAGAACCAGACAGAGACCACGCUUCUUGACCUCAAGCACCUGCUCAAGGAAGCGAAGCAAAGAAUACCACCAGUGCUUGCUGAGCUCGUUGACCCGCUGGAGGAUGCUGAAGCUAUUGCCAAGGAGAGUGGUGUCAAAGGAUGUGCAUUCUGUGGUGGGCUUGGGCAUCGUCUUGCUGACUGUCCAAAGCUGGAGCACCAGAAGUCCGUGGCGAUUGCCGGCUCCAGAAGAGAUUACUACGGCGGUGGAGGUUACCGUGGAGAAAUAUGA